GACGAACGCUGGCGGCGUGCUUAACACAUGCAAGUCGAACGGAAAGGCCCUGCUUUUGUGGGGUGCUCGAGUGGCGAACGGGUGAGUAACACGUGAGUAACCUGCCCUUGACUUUGGGAUAACUUCAGGAAACUGGGGCUAAUACCGGAUAGGAGCUCCUGCUGCAUGGUGGGGGUUGGAAAGUUUCGGCGGUUGGGGAUGGACUCGCGGCUUAUCAGCUUGUUGGUGGGGUAGUGGCUUACCAAGGCUUUGACGGGUAGCCGGCCUGAGAGGGUGACCGGCCACAUUGGGACUGAGAUACGGCCCAGACUCCUACGGGAGGCUGCAGUGGGGAAUAUUGCACAAUGGGCGGAAGCCUGAUGCAGCAACGCCGCGUGCGGGAUGACGGCCUUCGGGUUGUAAACCGCUUUCGCCUGUGGCGAAGCGUGAGUGACGGUAAUGGGUAAAGAAGCACCGGCUAACUACGUG
Molecule: ribosomal RNA, 468 nt
Filed under: uncultured bacterium
Lineage: Bacteria
Description: partial 16S ribosomal RNA
Rfam family: Bacterial small subunit ribosomal RNA
Source: RNAcentral